This 496-nucleotide ribosomal RNA is filed under the name uncultured bacterium. RNAcentral's name for it is "partial 16S ribosomal RNA". It matches the Rfam family "Bacterial small subunit ribosomal RNA", at positions 28 to 506 of the family's 1533-position model. The record is from RNAcentral.
GAUGAACGCUGGCGGCGUGCCUAAUACAUGCAAGUCGAGCGAACAGACGAGGAGCUUGCUCCUCUGACGUUAGCGGCGGACGGGUGAGUAACACGUGGAUAACCUACCUAUAAGACUGGGAUAACUUCGGGAAACCGGAGCUAAUACCAGAUAAUAUAUUGAACCGCAUGGUUCAAUAGUGAAAGACGGUUUUGCUGUCACUUAUAGAUGGAUCCGCGCCGAAUUAGCUAGUUGGUAAGGUAACGGCUUACCAAGGCAACGAUGCGUAGCCGACCUGAGAGGGUGUCCGCCCACAUUGGAACUGGGCAACGGUCCAGACUCCUACGGGAGGCAGCAUGAGGGAAUCUUCCGCAAUGGGCGAAAGCCUGACGGAGCAACGCCGCGUGAGUGAUGAGGGUCUUCGGAUCGUAAAACCCUGUUAUUAGGGAAGAACAAAUGUGUAAGUAACUAUGCACGUCUUGACGGUACCUAAGCAGAAAGCCACGGCUAAUUACGU